UACGUAGGGUCCGAGCGUUGUCCGGAUUUAUUGGGCGUAAAGAGCUCGUAGGCGGUUUCGUAAGUCGGAUGUGAAAACUCAGGGCUCAACCCGGAGACGCCAUCCGAUACUGCGAUGACUUGAGUCUGGUAGGGGAUCACGGAAUUCCUGGUGUAGCGGUGAAAUGCCCAGAUAUCAGGAGGAACACCGAUGGCGAAGGCAGUGAUCUGGGCCAGUACUGACGCUGAGGAGCGAAAGCGUGGGUAGCAAACAGG
This 254-nucleotide ribosomal RNA is filed under the name uncultured bacterium. Its description in RNAcentral is "partial 16S ribosomal RNA". It matches the Rfam family "Bacterial small subunit ribosomal RNA", at positions 524 to 776 of the family's 1533-position model. The record is from RNAcentral.